AAUUAUUGAAGACUUCAAGACUCACCAGUUCCAUUACACAAAGGCAAAGGCAACUCUUCAUAUUCUUGUCCAUUUUCCAAAUCACAGUGAGUGCAGCCUAUGUCAAAGUGUCCUGGCUCUCACAGUUUUCAACAGGUCACUAGUGGAAAC
Molecule: long non-coding RNA, 150 nt
Organism: Alosa sapidissima (American shad)
Lineage: Eukaryota; Metazoa; Chordata; Actinopteri; Clupeiformes; Clupeidae
Exons: 3
Source: RefSeq, a predicted model, not a curated record